This 1350-nucleotide ribosomal RNA is filed under the name Klebsiella sp. UIWRF1166. RNAcentral's name for it is "bacterial SSU rRNA". It matches the Rfam family "Bacterial small subunit ribosomal RNA", at positions 72 to 1425 of the family's 1533-position model. Lineage: Bacteria; Pseudomonadati; Pseudomonadota; Gammaproteobacteria; Enterobacterales; Enterobacteriaceae. The record is from RNAcentral.
UUGCUCUCGGGUGACGAGCGGCGGACGGGUGAGUAAUGUCUGGGAAACUGCCUGAUGGAGGGGGAUAACUACUGGAAACGGUAGCUAAUACCGCAUAACGUCGCAAGACCAAAGUGGGGGACCUUCGGGCCUCAUGCCAUCAGAUGUGCCCAGAUGGGAUUAGCUGGUAGGUGGGGUAACGGCUCACCUAGGCGACGAUCCCUAGCUGGUCUGAGAGGAUGACCAGCCACACUGGAACUGAGACACGGUCCAAAAUCCUACGGGAGGCAGCAGUGGGGAAUAUUGCACAAUGGGCGCAAGCCUGAUGCAGCCAUGCCGCGUGUGUGAAGAAGGCCUUCGGGUUGUAAAGCACUUUCAGCGGGGAGGAAGGCGGUGAGGUUAAUAACCUCAUCGAUUGACGUUACCCGCAGAAGAAGCACCGGCUAACUCCGUGCCAGCAGCCGCGGUAAUACGGAGGGUGCAAGCGUUAAUCGGAAUUACUGGGCGUAAAGCGCACGCAGGCGGUCUGUCAAGUGGGAUGGGAAAUCCCCGGGCUCAACCUGGGAACUGCAUUCGAAACUGGCAGGCUAGAGUCUUGUAGAGGGGGGUAGAAUUCCAGGUGUAGCGGUGAAAUGCGUAGAGAUCUGGAGGAAUACCGGUGGCGAAGGCGGCCCCCUGGACAAAGACUGACGCUCAGGUGCGAAAGCGUGGGGAGCAAACAGGAUUAGAUACCCUGGUAGUCCACGCUGUAAACGAUGUCGAUUUGGAGGUUGUGCCCUUGAGGCGUGGCUUCCGGAGCUAACGCGUUAAAUCGACCGCCUGGGGAGUACGGCCGCAAGGUUAAAACUCAAAUGAAUUGACGGGGGCCCGCACAAGCGGUGGAGCAUGUGGUUUAAUUCGAUGCAACGCGAAGAACCUUACCUGGUCUUGACAUCCACAGAACUUUCCAGAGAUGGAUUGGUGCCUUCGGGAACUGUGAGACAGGUGCUGCAUGGCUGUCGUCAGCUCGUGUUGUGAAAUGUUGGGUUAAGUCCCGCAACGAGCGCAACCCUUAUCCUUUGUUGCCAGCGGUCCGGCCGGGAACUCAAAGGAGACUGCCAGUGAUAAACUGGAGGAAGGUGGGGAUGACGUCAAUUCAUCAUGGCCCUUACGACCAGGGCUACACACGUGCUACAAUGGCAUAUACAAAGAGAAGCGACCUCGCGAGAGCAAGCGGACCUCAUAAAGUAUGUCGUAGUCCGGAUUGGAGUCUGCAACUCGACUCCAUGAAGUCGGAAUCGCUAGUAAUCGUAGAUCAGAAUGCUACGGUGAAUACGUUCCCGGGCCUUGUACACACCGCCCGUCACACCAUGGGAGUGGGUUGCAAAAGAA